Molecule: small RNA, 28 nt
Filed under: Bombyx mori (domestic silkworm)
Lineage: Eukaryota; Metazoa; Arthropoda; Insecta; Lepidoptera; Bombycidae
Description: ovarian small RNA-8901
Source: RNAcentral
UGUAAUUUGAAACCGCCACGAUUCAAAA